AUUGAACGCUGGCGGCAUGCUUUACACAUGCCAGUCGAACGGUAACAGGCCGCAAGGUGCUGACGAGUGGCGAACGGGUGAGUAAUGCAUCGGAACGUGCCCAGUCGUGGGGGAUAACUACUCGAAAGAGUAGCUAAUACCGCAUACGAUCUAUGGAUGAAAGCGGGGGACCGUAAGGCCUCGCGCGAUUGGAGCAGCCGAUGUCAGAUUAGGUAGUUGGUGGGGUAAAGGCUCACCAAGCCAACGAUCUGUAGCUGGUCUGAGAGGACGACCAGCCACACUGGGACUGAGACACGGCCCAGACUCCUACGGGAGGCAGCAGUGGGGAAUUUUGGACAAUGGGCGCAAGCCUGAUCCAGCAAUGCCGCGUGCAGGAAGAAGGCCUUCGGGUUGUAAACUGCUUUUGUACGGAACGAAACGGCUCUGGUUAAUACCCGGGGAUAAUGACGGUACCGGAAGAAUAAGCACCGGCUAACUACGUG
RNAcentral lists this ribosomal RNA (482 nucleotides) under uncultured bacterium. RNAcentral's name for it is "partial 16S ribosomal RNA". It matches the Rfam family "Bacterial small subunit ribosomal RNA", at positions 30 to 507 of the family's 1533-position model. The record is from RNAcentral.